RNAcentral lists this small RNA (136 nucleotides) under Clostridiales bacterium. RNAcentral describes it as "c-di-AMP sequence". It matches the Rfam family "c-di-AMP riboswitch aptamer (ydaO/yuaA leader)". From Rfam's summary of the family: This family represents a conserved RNA structure found upstream of the ydaO and yuaA genes in Bacillus subtilis and related genes in other bacteria. The ydaO/yuaA element is thought to act as a genetic "off" switch for the ydaO and yuaA genes in its native state. Lineage: Bacteria; Bacillati; Bacillota; Clostridia; Eubacteriales. The record is from RNAcentral.
CACAAGCAUAUGCUGAAUCUCGGAUUAUCCGAGUACGGAGGAACCAGUUUUGGGGUUAAUCCACAGUUAUUUGUGGUAGGGCACCUUCUAGCCCGCACCCGUCAGCUAACUUCGGAAGCAAACCAAGGAAGGAGUG